GACAUGGGUUCAGGUCCACAGUUCAGUACCACAACAAUGAAUAAAAAUUAGAAAUGGAAAAGGAAAGCCCAGGAUCUGGCACCUUACUUAGCAGUGGCUCAAGAAGAGUGGCAACACCUUGAUGUGUCUGGCUUUCUUUAACUGUCAAGCACUCAUGGGAUGACACAUCAGUGUAAGUGUUGAAAAUGGUCCGGGCACGUGUACCACAAGGCGUGAGCUUUUGUCACACCUGGGAUCAGAGCAAUGUCACCCCUGGUGGCAGAGAGAAGCCCUUGUUCAAUGCCCAUCACCCAGCUGGCUCUAGAGGGCAUCAGGAAGUGUCCACUGUCCCUUCCCUCCCACAGCCUGGCUCCAUGCCGUCCACACCUCAACUCGCAGGACUUCUCACUCUGCCCCAGGGGCUGCCAUGCCUGGGACCUGAAGAGUGAGCACCCCUGAGAACCAGCUCUUCUUUUAAAAGGGAGGUUUGGGGGCUGGGGUUGUAGCUCAGUAGUAGAGCACUUGCCUCGCAUGCUUAAGGCCCUGGGUUCU
Molecule: long non-coding RNA, 531 nt
Filed under: Marmota monax (woodchuck)
Lineage: Eukaryota; Metazoa; Chordata; Mammalia; Rodentia; Sciuridae
Source: RNAcentral